This 1129-nucleotide long non-coding RNA is filed under the name Androctonus crassicauda. The record is from RNAcentral. Lineage: Eukaryota; Metazoa; Arthropoda; Arachnida; Scorpiones; Buthidae.
AUUAAUAACUAAUGAUAAUAGAGAAUAUAGAAGGUUUUAUAUAGCAAUCAUAAAUAUUAUAAUAUACAAUAUAUAAUUUCCCUUGAUUUACAGACGUAAUUGGGAUUUUAGAAUCUGUUUGUAAGGCAGAAAUAAUCUGAAAAUUCAUUUCUCAUUAAUUCUAAUGUAAAAAUUUCCAUUUGGUUUCUGGGUGCCAGGAACCAAUUGGUCAUUUUACUUACAAAAGCAUUAACAUCCAUACAAUAUUGGGCACAAUUGUCUCCCUACCGAAACAUGGCGAAAGUGGUACAAAUCAAAUUCUAAGUUAACUGAAGAUACCUAUAUCUAUAAUUUUUAAAUAAAAAAUAAAGCUAUAACAAUUGAUAUUUUAUUGCCACAUUGAAUUUAAAUUCAAAAAUCAUUUGGCAUUUAAUAUAAUGGAAAUCAAAAUCAAAUAUCUAUUUAGCCCAUUUUUUACUAACUAUAAAUUAUUACAUUAUACAGUAGUAUGCAGUAUUGGGUACAACUGUUGCCUUACUGAAGCAGAGUGAAAGUGGUACAGAUUGAUGGGGGCAUAAACAUUCAAGAGUCCCUAGUGGACCAGGGAUCGAAGGUUAAAGGUUUACAAGACAGAGACAUAUAGGCUGCAUAGGUAGUGAAGCAAAGGAACGGGAUGCAUUGCCUUGCAGACUGUGGCAAGGCCAGGCACAACGUCAAACUGCAUGCACUGUUUGCAACCAACAGAACUUUGAGGCUCUCUAUCUCGUAAACCUUUGAUCUUUGACCCCUGAUCCACUAGGGAUUUUUUGGAUGUUUUGGCCCUUCGUUCGAUCUGUACCACUCUUCAGUUAACAGAUUUUGAUUUAAUGAACAGCAUAAAUUUAUAUCAUUUUUUCAUUUUGCAAAGAAACUAUUCAUCAAUUAAUUAUCCACUGAAAUUGUUAAAUUAAUGAUUUUCUUUACUGAUUGUAUCAGAUAUAUCAAAUUUAUUCUGCAUACCAUUGAUUUUAACAUAAAGUUGACUUCCAUUUUCACCAAAAAAUACAGUAUCAAUAAUCUGAAUAUUUGUAAUGAAUUUGCUGAAUUUUUUCAAAGAUUUUUGCAACUAUAUAAUACUACUAAAUUUUAUGAAAUAAUGAUUAAAUAUUAU